This is a non-coding RNA of Rattus norvegicus (Norway rat), 932 nucleotides long. Lineage: Eukaryota; Metazoa; Chordata; Mammalia; Rodentia; Muridae. The record is from RefSeq and is a predicted model, not a curated record.
GAGACAACAGAACUUUAGGAAUCUUCCAGCUCAUUGCCAUGCACUGAUAAGGGACGAGUCUGGAGGGAGCUCAAGGUCAUUGGAAAAAGAGAAGAAUAGCCUGUGCUCUGUCACCCCAUACACCCACUCUCAUGGGGGAGAAAGAAGCAACUGACUGGAUUCCACUUGAUCAGCAUCUCUGUGUCACUUUCUCUUCCUGCUUCUUUCUCAAUAGAAACAGGAACUAUUGAGGGUGGGGCCUGAGGGGUUGGGCAACCACAGAAAGUGACCGAGAUCGCCUUAACUGGAUUAACACUUAAAAGUUUAUGAUUCAGGGACGGAAGAAAAAGGUCAUCCAGAGACUACCCCAUGUGGGGAUCCAUCCCAUACGCAGCCACCAAACCUAGUCACUAUUGCUGAUGCCAAGAAGUGCUUGCUGACAGGAGACAAAUAAGGAUGUCUACUGAGAGGUUCUACCAGAGCCCUACUGAUACAGAUGAGGAUGCUUGCAGCCAACCAUCAGACUGAGCACGGGGAUCACAAUAAAGGAGUUGGAGAAAAGACUGAAGGAGCUGAAGGGGUUUGCACUCCCAUAGGAAGAACAACAGUAUCAACCAACCAGACCCCCCCCCGCCCCCAGAGCUCCCAGGGACUAAAUUACCAACCAAAGAAUACACAUGGAGGGACCCAUGGCUCCAGACACAUAAUGUAGCAGAGGAUGGCCUUGUCCAGCAUCAAUAGGAGGAAAAGCCAUUGGUCCUGGAAAGGCUUGUCUCCCCAAUGUAGGUUAAUGCCAAGGAGUUGAGGUGGGAAUGGGUAGGUGGGAGUGGAAGCAUCCUCAUAGAAGCAGGGCGAGGAGGGAGGGGUAUGAGAGGGGGGAAAGGAGAUAACAUUUGAAAUGUAAAUACAUAAAAUAUCCAAGCAAAAUAAAAUUUAACAAAAUGGCAAAAAAA